RNAcentral lists this long non-coding RNA (226 nucleotides) under Amborella trichopoda. Its description in RNAcentral is "long non-coding RNA (ATRI_LNC002222)". Lineage: Eukaryota; Viridiplantae; Streptophyta; Magnoliopsida; Amborellales; Amborellaceae. The record is from RNAcentral.
CACAAUUGAUCUAUAAGAGGAUAUUGUUAUCACAUAUCAAUAUAGUGAAUUCAAAAUAUUCAAGUUACAUCACAGAAUGACAAUCAUAUACAUUAAGCUCACUGACUACAACAAUCAUUUCAUAACUAAAGAAAUAGUCAAAAGCUACAAGUACUUGCUUGUGAGCAAUGGAAUAUCAAGAUAUUCCUCUAUGUUCUGAGGGGGAAUGAGCGACUGUGAUUGAUUU